CAGUGGCGAACGGGUGAGUAACACGUGGGCAAUCUGCCCUGCACUCUGGGACAAGCCCUGGAAACGGGGUCUAAUACCGGAUAACACUGUCCCCCUCCUGGGGGACGGUUGAAAGCUCCGGCGGUGCAGGAUGAGCCCGCGGCCUAUCAGCUUGUUGGUGGGGUAAUGGCCUACCAAGGCGACGACGGGUAGCCGGCCUGAGAGGGCGACCGGCCACACUGGGACUGAGACACGGCCCAGACUCCUACGGGAGGCAGCAGUGGGGAAUAUUGCACAAUGGGCGAAAGCCUGAUGCAGCGACGCCGCGUGAGGGAUGACGGCCUUCGGGUUGUAAACCUCUUUCAGCAGGGAAGAAGCGAAAGUGACGGUACCUGCAGAAGAAGCGCCGGCUAACUACGUGCCAGCAGCCGCGGUAAUACGUAGGGCGCAAGCGUUGUCCGGAAUUAUUGGGCGUAAAGAGCUCGUAGGCGGUCUGUCACGUCGGGUGUGAAAGCCCGGGGCUUAACCCCGGA
This 512-nucleotide ribosomal RNA is filed under the name Streptomyces sp. 310B06. RNAcentral describes it as "bacterial SSU rRNA". It matches the Rfam family "Bacterial small subunit ribosomal RNA", at positions 93 to 619 of the family's 1533-position model. Lineage: Bacteria; Bacillati; Actinomycetota; Actinomycetes; Kitasatosporales; Streptomycetaceae. The record is from RNAcentral.